RNAcentral lists this long non-coding RNA (205 nucleotides) under Lathyrus oleraceus (garden pea). RNAcentral describes it as "Pisum sativum (pea) long non-coding RNA (PSAT_LNC020089)". Lineage: Eukaryota; Viridiplantae; Streptophyta; Magnoliopsida; Fabales; Fabaceae. The record is from RNAcentral.
AGUGUUAGUUUAGAAAUGUUAGGAUUCUCAAGUUAUUAUGAGGGAAAGAAUAAUAGGAUCAGAAGAAAUGAGAAGAUGUUUUUGGAUUUUUUACAACGGGGACUAAACCUAAUUUUUUUAUUAAUGGACCUGACAAGAUUUCACAAUCAUGCUCCUACAUAUCUCAAUAGAGAACUCAAGGCACACGUAGUUCUGGGUAGAAAAU